Molecule: ribosomal RNA, 245 nt
Filed under: uncultured Delftia sp.
Lineage: Bacteria; Pseudomonadati; Pseudomonadota; Betaproteobacteria; Burkholderiales; Comamonadaceae
Description: partial 16S ribosomal RNA
Rfam family: Bacterial small subunit ribosomal RNA
Source: RNAcentral
UAGGUGGGGCUACCCACGUCAUACAAUGGCUGGUACAGAGGGUUGCCAACCCGCGAGGGGGAGCUAAUCCCAUAAAACCAGUCGUAGUCCGGAUCGCAGUCUGCAACUCGACUGCGUGAAGUCGGAAUCGCUAGUAAUCGCGGAUCAGCAUGCCGCGGUGAAUACGUUCCCGGGUCUUGUACACACCGCCCGUCACACCAUGGGAGCGGGUCUCGCCAGAAGUAGGUAGCCUAACCGCAAGGAGG